GUCCACACUGUAAACGAUGUGCACUAGGUGCUGGGGCGGAUGCUUCAGUGCCGGAGCUAACGCGGUAAGUGCACCGCCUGGGGAGUAUGCUCGCAAGGGUGAAACUCAAAGGAAUUGACGGGGGCCCGCACAAGCGGUGGAGCAUGUGGUUUAAUUCGAUGGUACGCGAGGAACCUUACCUGGGUUUGACAUACAGUGGAAUACGUCAGAGAUGACGUAGCGUAGCAAUACGUCGCUGUACAGGUGCUGCAUGGCUGUCGU
Molecule: ribosomal RNA, 261 nt
Filed under: uncultured bacterium
Lineage: Bacteria
Description: partial 16S ribosomal RNA
Rfam family: Bacterial small subunit ribosomal RNA
Source: RNAcentral